CAAGUCGAACGGCAGCGCGGGAGCAAUCCUGGCGGCGAGUGGCGAACGGGUGAGUAAUAUAUCGGAACGUGCCCUGUAGCGGGGGAUAGCCCGGCGGAAGCCGGAUUAAUACCGCAUACGCUCUACGGAGGAAAGCGGGGGUUCUUGGGCAACUGAGGACCUCGCACUAUAGGAGCGGCCGAUAUCGGAUUAGCUAGUUGGCGGGGUAAAAGCCCACCAAGGCGACGAUCCGUAGCUGGUCUGAGAGGAUGAUCAGCCACACUGGAACUGAGACACGGUCCAGACUCCUACGGGAGGCAGCAGUGGGGAAUUUUGGACAAUGGGCGCAAGCCUGAUCCAGCCAUGCCGCGUGAGUGAAGGAGGCCUUCGGGUUGUAAGCUCUUUCGGCAGGAACGAAAUGGUCCGUGCUAAUACCACGGACUGAUGACGGUACCUGAAGAAGAAGCACCGGCUAACUACGUGCCAGCAGCCGCGGUAAUACGUAGGGUGCAGGCGUUAAUCGGAAUUACUGGGCGUAAAGCGUGCGCAGGCGGUUUCUUAAGUCAGAUGUGAAAGCCCCGGGCUUAACCUGGGAACUGCGUUUGAAACUGGGAGACUUGAGUGUGGCAGAGGGGGGUGGAAUUCCACGUGUAGCAGUGAAAUGCGUAGAUAUGUGGAGGAACACCGAUGGCGAAGGCAGCCCCCUGGGUUAACACUGACGCUCAUGCACGAAAGCGU
Molecule: ribosomal RNA, 717 nt
Filed under: uncultured beta proteobacterium
Lineage: Bacteria; Pseudomonadati; Pseudomonadota; Betaproteobacteria
Description: bacterial SSU rRNA
Rfam family: Bacterial small subunit ribosomal RNA
Source: RNAcentral